UUGAGCCCAGGAGUUCGAGACCAGCCUGAGCAACAGAGUGAGACCCUGUCUCAAAAAAAAAAAAAAGAUACCAAAAGCAGCAUGAAUUUACUCAGUGUCACUGAGCAGUACACUUAAAAAAGGUCAGAGUGGUAAGUUUUAUGUUACAUAUAUUUUACCACAAUAAAAAUAUACUUUGCUUCUUAAAAAUUGCCAAUGACCUCAAAGAAAUUAAAAUACCCCAGACCACAGCCCUGCACCUCGGGCUCAGGAGGGAGCCUGAACCCCACCAAGGACUCUCCACACGGUGGCGCCAGUGAGGCAGGUGUCCUGCUCCGCUCGGGUGAGGCUAGAUUUGGGGGGGGCCGUUCUUCCAUGUCUUUCCUGCCCCAGAAGGUCCCUGAUCCAGGAGGAAGGUCCAGAAAGGCGCUGGCGUCCCCCAAGCCCUGAGGAACCCAUGGAUGCGCGACUGUUCUCGAGUGCACCGGUCCAUUCGGGUAAGUUUGAGAUUCUGGGGCCUGGCCACGGCCAUGUCACCUGUGUCUCCUCUUUCCUGUCUCCAGGGAUCUUAGGGAAGUUGGGCUCCAGGUGGUCACAUGCCACUCGGUCCUCAACGUGGACGUCGGGGCAUGUGCUGUGGUCUGAGCGUGUCCCCAAAGUUCACACGCUGGAAACUCCACGCCAGGGCAACAGUGCGGAGAGGCGAGCAGGAGGAACCUGACCAGGUCCAGGUGCCACUGGGACACGGCUGCUGUGAGAAGCCCAACCUCAUAGACGUGAGUUGACUGAACAUGCGAUCACACGGGGAAUGCAGUCAGACCUGAGAGCUUAAUUAACUGAGAUCCUGGUGGGACCCGGCCUCAGAGGAGAGGCGACGUCCAGUGCUGGGUGUGAGAGGAGGAGCAACCGCAUAAAUGUCUGACCUGACAGACAGGAGUGGGCUCGGCCGGCUGUGAUCCAGGAGGCGGGGUCGGCCCCAGCUCCCGCUGGCUGCCGGUGACAGGUGAUGAUCUUCAGUUUUUCGAGGAUAAGGAAAAUACCACAGCGAAUGAAAAACGUCUCGUGCUUGGCCAGCGCCUCGGUCAGCAGGAGCAGGUUGCCUUCGCUGGCGAUGGAGGGAAGACGCCACAGCCACAAAACAAAAUCCCGGAAAGAGCGCGUCAAAAACCAGUGACUUCUCACACACAUCAGAUUCAAAACACAGAAAUGAUUCAGUUUGUCGAGACAAACCCUACCGACCGCGCGGCACAGACCUGCCAGGAGUCUCGCGUGCUGACCGGCCACUCUGAGGGCAAGGCUGCGUGGACCUGCACUGCUGCUGAGGCUUGAAAGGCAAAGUGAGUGCGCGUGCCGCAGUGCCUUCCAGCCACCGAGUUGUGCCCGCCAGCAGCCCUGCAGGGCCGAGGUCAAGCAACAAGGAUUCAGCCGAAAGUCCGCACUAUCCCAGCUGCCAGAGCUGGACUUCCGCAGCCCAGACCCUGAGACGUGGACCCUUCCUACUGCCCAGGGCCGGGCCCAAAUCCCCAUGGAGGAUUCAUUAUCCUCAUCUGAAAAUGGAGACAUAAUAAUUCUGCUAUACCUACUUCAAAGGAUUAUGGCAAAAAAAAAAAAAAACCAUGAAAAAACACAAGAAGAAGUGCAUAGACAAGUACUUUGUAACUCAUACAAAUGCUUCAUUUAAGGUAACAUCCUUGCGGGUCUGACACCAGGAACAAUGACCUCUUCUGGAGACAUGUGGCAAAAGCAAACUCCAAGAAGAAAGAUUUGUCACUUGGGGUUUGCUUCUGUCUUCCGGGUACCCACCUGGGAGUGGAACUGCUGGGUCACAUGGUGAUCCUAUGUUUAACUUUCUGAGGAACCGCCAGGCUCUUCUGCCCAGCAGCGGCACCGGUUCACAUCCCCACCUGUGUCUGUCUGUGACCACAGCCUGCUGGUGGGUGCGAAGGGGCCGCACUUCAAGUGACGGGUGCGUGUGCACUGGUCACCGGCACCUGGUGAGGUGCGGCACCUUGUUAUGCACCCACUGGCCACUUCUGUCUCGCCUCUGGAAGAGUUUUCAAACCCUUUGCCAUUUUUAAAUGGGAUUAUUGGCCUUUUCACUAUUGAGUUGUAACAGUUCUUUAGAUAUUCUGAAUACUAGACCCUUAUCAGAUGUAUUAUUUGCAAUUUUUUUUCCCAUUCCGUGGUUGUUUUUCACUUCUUUGAUAGUGCCUCUGAAGCACAAAAGUUUUUAAUUUUGAUGAAGUCCACUUCAUCUAUUUUCCUGCUGUUGCUUGCACUUUUAGUAUUGUAUCUGAGAAACUGCUUACUGAUCGAAGGCCAGGAAGAUCAGUGCUGUGCAGAGAUAUGCAAUCUAACAAAACCUCUAGUAUUCAAUUUCAAUAUUCAAGUAUUUCUAGUCUUAAGAAACAUUUACUGUGGGGCAGGCGCUUUGACGGUGAAUGCGACGCGGCCUCACGCACUCUGCCCAUCAACAGCAGUCGCGCACCGGCCACCCCGUGGGUGAACGGGAGGUGCACUCCACUACCCGUGUUGAAGAAAGGAGAUUCCAUCCGCCGCGAGGCCACUGGAGAGAGGCCUCAGAGGAGGCUGAAAUCUCCAAAACAAGUGGAGACUGCGGAAGGGGAGUCGGGGCGGGCGUUCCGGGCAAAGGAAACCGCAUUCGCCGCAGGCCUCGGUGGGAAAGGGUCUCGGCCCGUCAAGGGACUUUCUGAAGCCCCAGCCCCGCCCCACUCACGUGUCACUGGCGCAGACACGGAAGCAGCUCAUCAGCAGCUCCGCGGCCUUCUCCAGCAUGUCCCCAGCUUUGCUUUUUCCUUUCUUCACCAACUGCUGAUCUGCCUAAAAGAAUAUAAAAAAUUUAUUUUUUAAAGAAAAAGCUGGUACAAUAAGAGUCAAAGUCCCAAAAGGUUCUAGAGAAAUUCUAGCAUGUACUACAGUAUUUUUAAAAAUUGAGAAGUCUAUACAUUGUCCCAAUCCUUCUGCAAAUCAAAUCUGUCUUCAGUGAGUCCAGCUCAAUCCGGCAGCAUCUGGAAGCCUCAGUGCAUUCAGCACCAUGCCCGCGAGAGGCUUUCUCCUGCCUCGGUCCCUGACCUUCCCGCCCAGGAACGGCCAGUCAGAACCCUGGAAACAAACAUCUCUGGGACAGUCACGUCACCACCGAGCCUGAGUCUCCCUCGAUACCCCUGCAGGUAGGAACAGCUGGCCCAACAUCUCCAGAUCUUACACCCCAAAUCAUCCACUGUAUCUGUUAUACACUGCACGGCGGCCACAAACCACAAAAGAUAUUGGACUAUCACGGUCUGGCACUUGUAGGCCUCUACGAAGUCGUGGUUCCCCACCGCAAACGUGCACCUGCAACAGAAACGUGGAGGCUGAGAGCCAGGGCGUCGGAACAAGCAUCGCCUGAUAAACACCCAGACAGCAUUAGCAGAUCGCACAGCUCACUCCAUCCCAGCCGCCCCAGUUCCCAACUGGUCCUGGAACCGAAGCUGGAAGCUCCCACCCGGCGGGAGGCAAAGGGUCAAGGCGGAAGUAACAAAUGACUGUUUGAACCAAAUCAGAGGCCUGCUGCUAUCCCAGAGACUGCUUCACCUGGUCUGAGGACUCUGACCAGGGACAGCAUGGGGAGGACAUCCCAAUGGCCAAAGAACAUGUGAAAGGCUCUAGACUCUGCCCCAACCACUACCCAUCCGCAAAAUGCAAUGAGCUACCUCCACGCACCCACCACAGCACCCACAAUUGAGAACACUGACAAUACUAAGUGUUGCCAAGGAUACAAAGUAGCUGGAAUGCCUGCACACUGGUGGUAGGGAUAAACUGGUACAGCCACUGUGGAAAAUUGUCAUUUCUACUAAAGCCAGCAAACGUCUGCUCUCUAACCCUGUGAUGCUACGCCCCAUGUCCACACCCAGAAGAAGCGGAGGCACGUGCCCCCAGGACACACACAGGAACCCAAGUCCUUCCCGAGUUUUCAACUGAGAGCAUUGACUAGGAAGGCUGACGCCACCUUCCCCAAAACUAACUUACGUGAUAAGGAAUCUGCCACUUAACUAUUCAACCCAACUACACAUGCCUUUACAUUUUGAAACAGUAACUCCCCUUGUAGGAUUUACCUUACAACUAGAAACAGAAGAUACCUGCGCUUGGUUACUCCUUCAGGGACUGCAGGUAAUCACAAGAUACUGGAAACAGGAGACCGGCUGAAUAAACUGGGAAACAGCUAUUGUAAGGCAUGCGAUGCAGCCAUUUUUAACGAUGAGGAAGAUCUCUGAACUGACGUGGAACAAUUUCCGGGAUAUAUAGUUAAGUGAAAAAAGCAAGCUGUAUGAAGAGUGUACGUAGAAUGCUGCCUCUCGACAGGGCAACGGAAGCAUGUGUGUUUAUGUCUUUGUGCUUGUGUGCCACAUAUAUUUCUCAAAAGCACAUACAGAGAAGAGAAGGCAGAAUCUAACGAAAACAGCUCUCUACAGAGGAGGUGGCAAAGAGAUGAAAGAGAGAAGGGGAGUUUCUGAGCACGUUUUUAAACAUACUGUUUAUUUAUGAACAUAUUCAAGAAAUACAAUAAAAAGGAAAGGCAACCUUACAACUGAAUACAAAUGGAAGAUAUGUAUCUAAUGUCAAAGGAGAGCAUAACCAUUAAAGAAAAAGAAUGUAAGUAAUUUCUGAACACAGAACUUCAUGGGAUUUGAGUGUCCUUAUUUUAAGGACACAAAGACUGCAAAAGAAAUCCUGAAUUUUACUUAGUAGACUCUGUUGGUAGUGGUGCUGGUGUCAUAAUUCCGAAACUGCUUUGUGGGUACAGUAAAUUUAUCAGAGUUGGGGACCACGGUCCUCAGUAUUCAAGAAAGGAAGAUACUAAAAUAGAACAAGGGAAAGUGAGAAUCCCACUGGACUAGAAUUGGAGGUAUGAGUAGGAACUUAAUGAUUCGUUUUAUCUUUGGCUGAAACCAUCUGAAGACCUCCAGGCUGUGGUCACAGGUUUUAUGCCUUCAUAGGAAAACCAUGGCCUUCCAGAGCCAGCCCUCAUGACCAAUUCCAUGUGAUACUGCAGGGUGCCACUCAAGGUCACAUCACGUCCCCACCUCCUAAUAUUUUCAAAGUCACAGAUGGCUGCAGUGUGACUUGAGUGCAAGUAGUAUGAAAACCCAUCACUAAACCCAGGCUUUCUCUUCACAGCCCUGACCACAGGUUUAGGAACUUCAUCCAAAAGGUAGAUGGAUGGAUACCAAGAGCCUUCACUGGCUUUGGGAAGGGGUUAGGUUUCCUCUUCAAAAUAACUGUGCUGGACACCUGUAGUCCCAGCUACUCAGGAGGCCGAGGCAGGAGGAUCGCGUGAGCCCAGGAGUUUGAGGUUGCA
This is a long non-coding RNA of Lemur catta (Ring-tailed lemur), 5338 nucleotides long. RefSeq lists it as uncharacterized. The transcript has 10 exons. NCBI's taxonomy places the organism in Eukaryota, Metazoa, Chordata, Mammalia, Primates, Lemuridae. The record is from RefSeq and is a predicted model, not a curated record.